AUGUUGCAACCGGGUAAUUCAUCUGGAUCUUCAAGCUCUAGGUCUUCUAGAAGGGUGUACAAGUCAGUUAGAGAUGGUAGAAGCUUAGAUCCACCAGAGCUGAGGUGUGCUUGCAAGGUUGAGGCGAGGAAGAUGAUGUCUCGCACCACACGGAAUCCAGAUCGAGAAUACCUUUCAUGUGGAAGCACUCCAGGAAGAUGUAGCAUUUGGAUUUGGAGAGAUAUAUUAAUGGAGUACGUUGAGGAAAUGCUGGAUUAUUGUGGAGCGCCACUUAAGGAGAUGCUUGAUGAUGCAAACAGAAAGCUUCUCGAUCAAGCUAGAUUAAUUAAUUCCCUGAGCUUGAAGAUUGAACAAGAUUCUAGUGAUAGAGAGCAGCAGCUUGGAGAGGUCAUAGGUUGUAUAACAAAGCUUGAAGGAUCAGUGAGAAGGUUGAAGAUGUUCAUAUGGGGAACAAUCCUUUUGGUAUCAACUUGGUUAGCAAUUGGAGGAUCUUCUUCAAGUCUGGUGACUAUACUAUUAGCUGUAACUUUAAUUUAUCUGGUUGUAGGGUAA
Molecule: ribosomal RNA, 552 nt
Filed under: Triticum aestivum (bread wheat)
Lineage: Eukaryota; Viridiplantae; Streptophyta; Magnoliopsida; Poales; Poaceae
Description: partial small subunit ribosomal RNA
Source: RNAcentral